CCAGUCCGGCCAACGCCACAGAGCCGAGCGCAGAGCGCGCAUGCGCCAUGACGCUCGCGCUGCGUCCGUCUGGCUCCGCCGCUCCGCCAGGCCGAGAGGAGAGUACGUGUGCGAAGGACUCCGGGUCGCUUUGCGGGAGACGAUACUUUGUCCGACACCUACCUGCGCGCCUCCUCCCCCGCCCCCCUGCGCGCAUGCGCAAGCCUGCGCCCGGCUUCCAGGAGAGGCUGCAUAGCCGGGCUCGGGGCGAUUAUGUGGCGAUGAGCUCGCUACCCGCUCCUCCGCGGGUGGGAAGUGGCCCCGCGGUUUUCUACCAGCCAGUCAGACUGAACUACUCCCUGUGUCCUAGGUGAGGGAUGAGGACCUGGGGGCCCUCCGGGAGGUGCAGCGUGUCUAUGCUGAGAGCCGUCCUUGCAGAAAAGCGCUGUAGAGGGGCUCUGGGUGCUCUGGGCAUGGCUGGUGUUGCGUGUGCUGCUGUGUGUGCUGCUUGAAAGAGCGAGCUGCACAGAUAAAAGGACUCGCCACGCAGCCAAAGCCAGACACUGCAGCCACAAGCCAGGAAUGACUGGAUCAGCCAGAAACUGGGAGACACACAAGACCAUCUCUCCCAGAGUCUCUGGAGGGAACACGACUUAGCUGACGUCUGGAUUUUGGACUUCUACUCUUGAGAUGUUUCACAGGAAAUUCAGAAGUUCAAGUAUGCCAUGAGGAAAUAACAAGGCAAAUCCAGAAUAUGGAGCAGUUGGCUCCUACCUCCCAAACACUGAAGUCAAAAAGAAAAACAAGUGUGGGGGAAAUGUACUUGAAAACUGAGCUGGCAAGGACGGACCAGAGGUGUGCGGUACUACACAAGGCAUGCAGCGGCCCCUGGGUCUCGGUGUGCUAGAACUGAUGUGGGAAACAAAGGCAGAAGAAAAAUUAUUAAAUUUCCUGACUACCUACAGCCCACU
Molecule: long non-coding RNA, 950 nt
Organism: Mustela erminea (ermine)
Lineage: Eukaryota; Metazoa; Chordata; Mammalia; Carnivora; Mustelidae
Exons: 4
Source: RefSeq, a predicted model, not a curated record